RNAcentral lists this ribosomal RNA (371 nucleotides) under uncultured bacterium. RNAcentral describes it as "bacterial SSU rRNA". It matches the Rfam family "Bacterial small subunit ribosomal RNA", at positions 917 to 1291 of the family's 1533-position model. The record is from RNAcentral.
GGGCCCGCACAAGCGGUGGAGUAUGUGGUUUAAUUCGAUGCAACGCGAAAACCUUACCUACUCUUGACAUACUUGGAAGCUCUUGUAAUGAGAGUGUGCCUUUUGGAGCCAAGAUACAGGUGCUGCAUGGCUGUCGUCAGCUCGUGUCGUGAGAUGUUCCGUUAAGUCGGAUAACGAGCGCAACCCUUACCCUUAUUUGCCAGCGAUCGGUCGGGAACUAUAAGGGGACUGCCGGUGAUAAACCGGAGGAAGGUGAGGACGACGUCAAGUCAUCAUGGCCCUUACGAGUAGGGCUACACACGUGCUACAAUGGGGAAUACAGACGGUUGCUAAAGCGCGAGCUGGAGCCAAUCCGACAAAGUCUCUCGUAG